Molecule: long non-coding RNA, 4048 nt
Organism: Mus musculus (house mouse)
Lineage: Eukaryota; Metazoa; Chordata; Mammalia; Rodentia; Muridae
Product: predicted gene, 51960
Exons: 2
Source: RefSeq, a predicted model, not a curated record
UUUCAGAGAGAGGGACGCAGGAGAAGGAAGGACAUCUAAGAGUGAUUUUAGCUAGUUUCGAGGCUCCACUACGGGAUCAUCUCACCGUUCAAAUCCAGUUCUGAGCUAGGACUGUGCUGUGCGGAAGGGAAAGACUGAUCCGACACUAUUUCCUGGUUCCCCAAGCCUCGGGACCUCAUCCCUCCAUCUUUGUCCCAGAGCUUAGGGAGACGGGGCCACGGGAGCUGCUCCUCACAGGGCCAUCAGGUACCAGUCAUCACCCACAGCCCAGGCUCUUGUCCCCACUUGGCCUUGCUAGAGCUUCAGACCUGUCCAAAGGCUCACCCUAGACAGAGGAGAUGACAUAGGCCAGGUACACCCACGCCAAGGGACUCCACCCACGGGUGGGAACAGACAUGAUGUAUUGUAAGCACAGUGGCACCUCAGGAUGGGCGCUCUCUCUCUCUCUCUCUCUCUCUCUCUCUCUCACACACACACACACACACACACACACACACACACACACACACCAUGUGAAUGGAAUGUAUUCUUAUAAAGAACAGGGCUGGGGUAGAACUCGGGGAUGGAACACCUACCUACCUAGCAUUUGUGAGACCCUGGGUUCUGUCCCUAGCAUCACAAUAAACGAACAGAACGGAAGAGGAAAUAAGACGAGAUUGUAGAAAGCUACCCCACUAGGGACCUAGCACUAGUAGAUAAACACCAGGCCUGGUCUAGCUGUGGGUGUUCAGUGACAGGUGGCCACAUCCAGGCUCCACAGAAGACGGCAGAGGAGUCCAGGGGAAGGGUGGACAUCCAAGUACCAAAUUACUGUCUGAGGGAGGCUGAGGCAGAGACAUGAAACAAUGGGGAGAGCUUUCCAGACCUGAGCUUGGGAAAGCAGACUUCAGCGGAAGCGCCAGCAAGCAGAACCUAAUCCACACAUGCAGAGAUUGUCUCUACCCAGAGGCUCCAUGGCGGCGCACGACCCAGGGCCAGCCAUGCCCGCUGAGGCCACAGCCCCGAGCCUUACCAUAUCCGAGAUGGCGUGACUGUCUCGUACCAGGACCGACACCAUCUGCAGCAAGAGGUGGCGUUAGGCGCGAGGCUGACCGACCUCCCCACCUCCAGUUCAUCCCCUCAACCCCCCACCAAGGUACCUUGUCCGCCGGGAACUGAACCGCAUCUCCCGCGCACGGGGUCCGGUUCUGGUUCCAGUUGGAGGCAGUAUCGAAGGAGGUAUUGGGGACCCAAAGUUUGUAGGCGGCCCGAGUCAUUGCUAAAGAAAGGAAGGCUGAGUGUCGCCUUCUGGGAAGGCGACUUUCCAAAGAGGCGCGGCAGAGGUGCACACAGCGCAAGGCGGUCAGGCCCCACCGCGGCGUUCUCAGGCGCACUCUUAGCUGAUCUACAGAACCCGCGCAAACAUGCCCUUCUCCUCCCUCGGAACGUCGUCUCUAUUCACAGCACUCUGACUGCCCGGGGGGGGGGGGGUCGGAGGGGAAUCGGCCCUUAGGAAAGAGCUCUGGCGGGAAGCUCACUGGGGCAGAGAGGGGUCCCAGAGCCCGGAGUUGGCGACCCUGUCCCGAUUGUGCACAGAGGAGGCGCCAGGGGCUGGGAGGUCCACGGGAAUAGGCUGCGGUUUCUCCACUUCCUGGGCUUUGGAAACUUUACCAACCCACGCCAGAGGACCGGGAAAUUGAGGCAGGCUGCCAACGCCACCUCCAUAUCCCAACCUCUCCUGCGAUCGCGACCCUUCCUAGAGAAACCUCAGCCUCAAUCAAGGUCCAGACCCAGGGGGACACGGGGCCUACCACAGAGCUGCAGCCACAGCAGGACCCGGCCCAGAGCACCCAUCUCUCCGCCGAGGCUCUCACAGAUGCGGACUUCGCUCCGAGGGCCCCACGUGACCGGGCGGGGCUGAGGGACAGGGGGCGCCCAGAUGUUACACAUUUACCUUGGGAUCGCCCAGCUGUCUCCUGAGGGCCCUUGGAGGAAUCUUCUCAGCGGCUUUAGCAUCUGCCCUUUAGGACCCAGGACCCUGGGUACCCAAUAAGAGGGUGUCGUCCUGACUUUCCCGGUGACACGGUGUGGAGGUGGCCAAGAACCCUGGAACUCAGCCAUCUUUGCCCAUCUUCUCCAGGCCUGAAGUCUUAGCCUGGGUGUGUGCUCUGCAGGGAUUGUGUGGGUUGCAGAACAGACCGGAAGGGAUGUCAAAGGCGCGUGAAGGUCCUGGAAGAGAACAAAGAGAGCUAAGGCAGAGAGUGACGUGCCUGGGUAGGCUGGCCAUGAAGGCAGGUUAGAGGUGACAGGCAGGGUGCACGAUGAAUGGAGAAUCACCAGUGAGAGAAAUGACGGGUGGGCCAGUCACCAAACGGUGGUGGCAGUGGCUUGAGGAGGGCUUCUGUGAGUACAUCAUUGACAGUGGCACCUGGUGUUGGAUGUUAAAUUCCUGAUAGCAAUGGGGAUGACAGUGGCUGGAGAGUGACUGGGCUAAUGGUAGAGGGUGGCUCACUGAUAGCUGUGGAUGAGUGGGUAGGGGACAGUGGGUGGUGGCUGGGUGGGAGUGAUGGCAGCUGUAGACAUGACUAGGUUGUGUGUGUGGGGGGGAAGAGUGGACCGGAAGGGAUGUCUGGUGGAUGGCAGACUGAGGAUGCUGGGAAAGUGGGGUGAAGAUGCUGGUGGGGUCCAUCUGCAAGGAGUGUUGGCUGAGGUAACAGGAAGGUCGAGGAGAGGUAACAGAUUUUAUGUGGGAUGAGUGGAAACAGACAGUAGAUGAGGCGGGUCCCUUGGCAGGGCCGGAAAGAGGAUGGAGAUCGGGCAAACGGGGUAAUGAGAGGCUACCCCAGGCAAGAAGCUUCCCAGCCCAGAGGUCAACAUGUCACUCGGGAGUUGUCUCUUGUCAUCCAGCCCCGCCCAGUCACAUGUCCCUGUGGGGCAAAAAUGGAUGCCUGAAGAAGAUACCAGGGAGGAGUGUGGGUGAACUGUGGGCAGAUGAGGUUUGGUUGGUGGGUUGCAUGGUGUGACUUCACAGCCAGCUUAGCAGGUUCACCCCAGACACACCUCUGGCUGUGGCUGUGAAGGUCUCUCCAGACACUGAUCGGGCCAGACCUGCACUGACUGUGGAAAGUCUUCCUCUCUGCUUCCUGAGCCAUACCACAGCGCGAUGUGUAUGACAUACCAGUAUGACCAGCCGCCUCAUGCCCUCCCUGCCGUCUCCUCCAACUGUAAGCCCAAACACACUUUUCUUUCCUGAGGCCACCUUUGCCAGGUGUUUUGCCACAGUAGGGGUGUUAGAGGAAUCACCUUGGGGUCAAGUUUGUGGUAACGGAUGGAUGGAUGCUGUGACGUCUGUCUGGUGAUGGUACACUUGUGAAUGGUGGACGGAUGUGCGGGUGAUGGGAGGCAGAGUUGGAGGGAUUGUACAGAGGCAGGAAUUAAGUGUUGAGGGAAGUUUGCUCUUGGCCUCCAGCUAGGUCAGGCACAAAGGAGACUCUUGGAGGUCACAUUCUUCUUGUCUGUUGUUUUAUUCCUGAAGAGGAAGCACUGUCACAGACUGGGCUCUGGCUUUCACUGUUGAGCCAGUUUGACCCAUGGGACACAAGUGCUAGGUGGGUGUCCCCAUGGUGGUCACAUGGGAAGGGCAGUCAGUCAGAGUACCUGGGCAAAGAGGCUUCCCAUAAGAAACAGCUUGGAACAACAGCAGAAGGAAGAGUUUACAGCUGCCGUGGCCGGGACCAGGAGCAGGCAGGGUGUCUAGAGAAAGCCCUUGGGGAUGAAUAUGAGCCCGACACACGUGGGCACACACUUGUGGUCAGGACCUUCACAGGAAGUAGAAGAAAUGCAGACCCUAUGGAGUAACUAGUAGUACAGGCGUACUCCUUGGGUAAGGAUGGAGCCAGGGGCUUGGCAGUUGCUCAGUUUUGGCUUGACUGGCAUCUUGAGUCAACUUAUCUGUACAUGGGCAACCUUCUUGUGCCAGGGAAGCCAUAUCCCUCACUAGGCCACUGAAACAGUCACCAGGAGGUUUUCCACUGGUUCAUUCAAACUGCAUAAAGAAUGCUAUAGCCCA